Molecule: ribosomal RNA, 467 nt
Filed under: uncultured bacterium
Lineage: Bacteria
Description: partial 16S ribosomal RNA
Rfam family: Bacterial small subunit ribosomal RNA
Source: RNAcentral
GACGAACGCUGGCGGCGUGCUUAACACAUGCAAGUCGAACGGAAAGGCCCUGCUUUUGUGGGGUGCUCGAGUGGCGAACGGGUGAGUAACACGUGAGUAACCUGCCCUUGACUUUGGGAUAACUUCAGGAAACUGGGGCUAAUACCGGAUAGGAGCUCCUGCUGCAUGGUGGGGGUUGGAAAGUUUCGGCGGUUGGGGAUGGACUCGCGGCUUAUCAGCUUGUUGGUGGGGUAGUGGCUUACCAAGGCUUUGACGGGUAGCCGGCCUGAGAGGGUGACCGGCCACAUUGGGACUGAGAUACGGCCCAGACUCCUACGGGAGGCAACAGUGGGGAAUAUUGCACAAUGGGCGGAAGCCUGAUGCAGCAACGCCGCGUGCGGGAUGACGGCCUUCGGGUUGUAAACCGCUUUCGCCUGUGACGAAGCGUGAGUGACGGAAAUGGGUAAAGAAGCACCGGCUAACUACGU